This 63-nucleotide transfer RNA is filed under the name Octopus bimaculatus (Verill's two-spot octopus). RNAcentral describes it as "tRNA-His". Lineage: Eukaryota; Metazoa; Mollusca; Cephalopoda; Octopoda; Octopodidae. RNAcentral also lists the same sequence under 1 other name. The record is from RNAcentral.
GUAAAAUUAGUUUAUAAAAAAUACUAGGUUGUGGGCUUAGAGAAAAAGUUAAUUUAUUUUACU